This 790-nucleotide ribosomal RNA is filed under the name uncultured Staphylococcus sp. RNAcentral's name for it is "bacterial SSU rRNA". It matches the Rfam family "Bacterial small subunit ribosomal RNA", at positions 130 to 906 of the family's 1533-position model. Lineage: Bacteria; Bacillati; Bacillota; Bacilli; Caryophanales; Staphylococcaceae. The record is from RNAcentral.
CUAUAAGACUGGGAUAACUUCGGGAAACCGGAGCUAAUACCGGAUAACACUUGGAACCGCAUGGUUCUAAAGUAAAAGAUGGUUUUGCUAUCACUUAUAGAUGGACCCGCGCCGUAUUAGCUAGUUGGUAAGGUAACGGCUUACCAAGGCAACGAUACGUAGCCGACCUGAGAGGGUGAUCGGCCACACUGGAACUGAGACACGGUCCAGACUCCUACGGGAGGCAGCAGUAGGGAAUCUUCCGCAAUGGACGAAAGUCUGACGGAGCAACGCCGCGUGAGUGAUGAAGGUUUUCGGAUCGUAAAACUCUGUUAUUAGGGAAGAACAAAUGUGUAAGUAACUGUGCACAUCUUGACGGUACCUAAUCAGAAAGCCACGGCUAACUACGUGCCAGCAGCCGCGGUAAUACGUAGGUGGCAAGCGUUAUCCGGAAUUAUUGGGCGUAAAGCGCGCGUAGGCGGUUUCUUAAGUCUGAUGUGAAAGCCCACGGCUCAACCGUGGAGGGUCAUUGGAAACUGGGAAACUUGAGUACAGAAGAGGAAAGUGGAAUUCCAUGUGUAGCGGUGAAAUGCGCAGAGAUAUGGAGGAACACCAGUGGCGAAGGCGACUUUCUGGUCUGUAACUGACGCUGAUGUGCGAAAGCGUGGGGAUCAAACAGGAUUAGAUACCCUGGUAGUCCACGCCGUAAACGAUGAGUGCUAAGUGUUAGGGGGUUUCCGCCCCUUAGUGCUGCAGCUAACGCAUUAAGCACUCCGCCUGGGGAGUACGACCGCAAGGUUGAAACUCAAAG